Long non-coding RNA from Strigops habroptila (Kakapo), 561 nucleotides. RefSeq lists it as uncharacterized. The record is from RefSeq and is a predicted model, not a curated record. The transcript has 2 exons. NCBI's taxonomy places the organism in Eukaryota, Metazoa, Chordata, Aves, Psittaciformes, Psittacidae.
GGUGCUGCGGCUGUGCGUCAUGGCGUCACGAAGCGGCGCCCGGGCCCUGAGCGUCGCUGUCGCGCCCGUCACGUGACGAGAAGGCGGAAGUGGCAGCGGCGGGCCGGGGCCAUGUGCAGGGCCGGGGCCAGCUCCUGGUGGCGCCUCCGGUGCCUUUUUGAGCCGCACAAGCCGGGGGCUCCCAGCGCACCGCAGGGGGUUUGGCUUCGCCGUCGCCUCCGGAGGCUCCGGCGUCCCCGCAGGGAUGCGCUCGGGAGCCUGCUGGUGUCCUAGCUCCCGGUGCGGCGGCAUGCUGUCCCCGCCAGAGGACCUCAGCUGUGGACGUAGAGCCCCGGCUCGGCUCUGCCACCCCCUGCUCUGCGCUGGUGUCUUUAGCACACCCCUGGCUCGGGUGGCUCCUGCUCUCACCGCCAGCUGCUGUGAGACCGUGAAAGACCUUCCCAAUGGACGAUGGUUCCAGGGCAAAGCAGCCUGACCUCUGUGAGCCACAGGGGCUCAUGUGGACCCUCCUGUUGCUGGCUCGACUGAUGGAAAAUGGCUUAAAGCUUCUGUUACCCUGCA